GUGUCUGCCCUCCCUGCGUCAGGACGCGGCCCUGCCCAGACCGCCCCGCCGGGCCACCAUCUCACUGCCCCGACCUCUGUCUUCUACAGAACACCUUAGGCUGGUGGGGCUGCGGCAAGAAGCGGGUCUGUUUCUUUACUUCCUCCACGGAGUCGGCACACUAUGGCUGCCCUCUGGGCUCCCAGAACCCACAACAUGAAAGAAAUGGUGCUACCCAGCUCAAGCCUGGGCCUUUGAAUCCGGACACAAAACCCUCUAGCUUGGAAAUGAAUAUGCUGCACUUUACAACCACUGCACUACCUGACUCAGGAAUCGGCUCUGGAAGGUGAAGCUAGAGGAACCAGACCUCAUCAGCCCAACAUCAAAGACACCAUCGGAACAGCAGCGCCCGCAGCACCCACCCCGCACCGGCGACUCCAUCUUCAUGGCCACCCCCUGCGGCGGACGGUUGACCACCAGCCACCACAUCAUCCCAGAGCUGAGCUCCUC
Molecule: long non-coding RNA, 489 nt
Filed under: Homo sapiens (human)
Lineage: Eukaryota; Metazoa; Chordata; Mammalia; Primates; Hominidae
Description: non-protein coding H19:27
Source: RNAcentral